Molecule: long non-coding RNA, 2143 nt
Organism: Mustela putorius furo (domestic ferret)
Lineage: Eukaryota; Metazoa; Chordata; Mammalia; Carnivora; Mustelidae
Source: Ensembl
GGCAAAUAUUACAUGAUUCCAUUUACGAGAAAAAUCUAGACUAUGUAGGCAAGUUCAGAGAGCACAAAGCAGAUUAGAGUUUUUUAGUGGGGAGUUAUUGUUAAUUGAUAGUUUCUGUUUAGGGUGAUCGGAAUGUUUUUGAAAUAGAAAAUGGUGAUGGCUGCACAAUUUUGUGAAUGUAAUUAAUGCCACUGAUUGUACACCUAACAAUGGCUAAAAUAGACAAUUUUAUGUUACACAGUUUACAUUUAUGCACAAAUGCAUCAAUGGAAACUAUGUGCAAUAAAUAAUUAGUAUGAGUCCCUGCACUAUAUUUUUAUUUUUGGAUCCUAAAGUGCACUUUUAAAAAAAUCAAUAGAACCAUAGAGUUGGUUCAUACGUACUCUCCUGCAGGCUAAUCCUGCAAAUCCCUCUCUGCUAUGUUGAUGUGUUGCUGGUUGCCCUUCUUACCAAUCUUUCCAUCUCCUCAAGGUAUUUUUUUCCUCUCUAGUGCAUCGAUCUUCAUUGCAUUUAAUUCUAACCACUUCUAUUUGAACAGGACAUGUUAAAUUGUUAGCCAAUAAUAAGUGGUAAUUAUUGAAGAUGCCUUUGGACUUAAUGAACACUCUCCUUAUUAUCUCUAUUACGGAUGACGAAGAGGGGAAGGGGUAGACAGCUGCAAGACAGACGUCGAGUGCCAGGUCCAGACUCCACAGUGUUACAGUGUACACGGUGACGAGGGACGAGGGAGGGACAGAUGUUGGGCACAGCAAAGAUGGCACUGGCCUGCCUUCUCUUCCAGCUAGAAAAGGCGCCACCGUGGCAGUAUUGGCGCCAACGUGGCGGUUUCGGUUCCGCAUAUCUCUGAUAUUUCCUCCUCUCGCCCAACACACCCUACCCAGCUACUGACGACGUAACCAAACCCCAUAGGCUCUCUCCCCGCUGACCUCAUUUCCCAUCCCCUACCCAAUAUAAGCUGCAACCCCGCUCAAUAAAGUGAGAUCCUGCUUCGACAGAUCCCCCGAGCCUGGUGUCGUCCGUUGGUGCGUCCGGGUUCGCGACACUCGCCAUCCCGCUCAGCCCCGGGAAGGGGCCUCCGGCUGGUCCGGUCGCCUCCACCCCUCCGAGGGAACCCCAACAGACAGAGGUCAUAAUGACUAUGAGGCUCCUGGCUUACAGAUUUGCAUGAAAUGCUUCUUAAUGAGGUACUAUCAUUACUCCUGCACACUGACAGCAACUGAAGCUUGGAGAAGUGGACAUCACUGAUAAGAAGUAGAGGAGACAUCUGGACUCAGAUCAGACUUCACAGCUUGGCUGUUAUCCGCAGUGCUUUAGUAACAUGCACAACCAAAGCUGAUAGAGGGUUUCUUCUUAGAAUUACUCUUUUUCCUGAGAACAAUAAAGAAUUAGGAAAGUGUGUGUGUGUGUGUGUGUGUGUGUGUGUGUGUGUGUGUGUAUUACAGCCCUUAAUCGAUGCUAAGUUUGGGGAUAUUUUUCAUUAAAAAGCAAAAACCAUAAAAUCAAAUGUCAAACUAACAGCUCAAACUGUGGAGAACAUGAAUAUAGUUCUUAGUCCAAAAGAGAUAUAUCAAGUUAUGUGAAAAUAAAAUUCACAUACGGUUACCUAUUUUUAUAGAAGAUAAUUUUACAUUAUCAUGUGGUACUUAAUCUUGAAUUUUGAAAAUACAUUUGGAGUAAAUAAAAUGAAAAUAAAAAAGAUAUUGAUACAUAUAAGCUUAAUUUAAUAAUUAUGAUUAAUAAGGGACAGCACAAGCUUGCUGAUAGAAGUCUGAAUGUUAUUCCGUAAGCAAAAUGAAGGUAAACAGAUGAAUCAAUUCAAAGCAUAUACAGUGAAGUUACUAUAUUUUAUGAAAAGAAUAUUAUAAGUUGCUAUCAUUAGUUAUUGGGUAUAACCAUAAAGCAAACAAUUUAGUAAUUUUUGUUGUUGAUGUGAACGUUGUGAACAGACUGACAAAAGGGCUGCAUUAUUUUAUUCAAAGAGUAACAACCUAUGUCUAAGAAGGUGUUCCUUGAGAGCUGACACGCAUCUGUAGGAGACUCAUCUUUUAGAAAUAUUUUGAUAUAAGUUAACAUUAUGGCCAGUACUGUGAAGUAAGAAACGAAGGUAUCAGUUCUCAAAUGAAGAUCAGAAUUCUAAAAAAUG